Molecule: ribosomal RNA, 465 nt
Filed under: uncultured bacterium
Lineage: Bacteria
Description: partial 16S ribosomal RNA
Rfam family: Bacterial small subunit ribosomal RNA
Source: RNAcentral
CCUACGGGAGGCAGCAGUGGGGAAUAUUGCGCAAUGGGCGAAAGCCUGACGCAGCGACGCCGCGUGAGGGAUGAAGGUCUUCGGAUCGUAAACCUCUGUCAGCAGGGAAGAACGGUCACUGUGCUAAUCAGCAGUGAAUUGACGGUACCUGCAAAGGAAGCACCGGCUAACUCCGUGCCAGCAGCCGCGGUAAUACGGAGGGUGCGAGCGUUAAUCGGAAUUACUGGGCGUAAAGCGCUCGUAGGCGGUAUGUCAAGCCAAGGGUGAAAGCCCCGCGCACAACGUGGGAACUGCCUUUGAAACUGGCAAACUGGAGUGUGUGAGAGGAUAGUGGAAUGCCAGGUGUCGGAGUGAAAUCCGUAGAUAUCUGGAGGAACAUCAGUGGCGAAGGCGACUAUCUGGCACAUAACUGACGCUGAGGAGCGAAAGCGUGGGUAGCAAACAGGAUUAGAUACCCCUGUAGUC